UAAUAUUUUUAACCGACUUCCAAAAAAGGAGGAGGUUCUCAAUUCGACUGUAUUUUUUUUUUUUUUUUAUAUAUGUUACAUCAGAACUUUUGACCAGGUAGACCGAUUUCGACAAAUUUUGUUUUAAUCGAAAGGUGGUGUGUGCCAAUUGGUCCCAUUUAAAUUUAUUUGAGAUCUAACAACUACUUUUCAAGUUACGAGUAUAUCCAAUAAUGCGUUUUUACUUGACGCUUUUUUCGUCGACCUACGUUGUAUUAUACCACAUAACUUUCUACUGGGUGUACCGAUUUUGAUAAUUCUUUUUUUGUUGGAAAGGGAAUAU
RNAcentral lists this unclassified non-coding RNA (322 nucleotides) under Melitaea cinxia (Glanville fritillary). RNAcentral describes it as "misc RNA ENSMCXG00005020201.1". Lineage: Eukaryota; Metazoa; Arthropoda; Insecta; Lepidoptera; Nymphalidae. The record is from RNAcentral.